CCAGCAGGACGGCCUGCUGAGCGACACCCACUCGCGGGACGGCCCGC
Molecule: non-coding RNA, 47 nt
Filed under: Burkholderiales bacterium
Lineage: Bacteria; Pseudomonadati; Pseudomonadota; Betaproteobacteria; Burkholderiales
Description: Guanidine-II sequence
Rfam family: Guanidine-II riboswitch aptamer (mini-ykkC)
About the family: Simpler in structure and has fewer highly conserved nucleotide positions than the ykkC-yxkD leader. Despite this each of its two stem-loop structures directly bind free guanidine.
Source: RNAcentral